GGGGCAAUGAUGAAAUGGCAGCCAUGAGGGUCUUAAAAACCCUUGCCUUCGGGCGUGUGGGUUCGAAUCCCACUUGCCUCA
This 81-nucleotide transfer RNA is filed under the name Anaerolineae bacterium. Its description in RNAcentral is "tRNA-Leu". It matches the Rfam family "tRNA". Rfam says of the family: Transfer RNA (tRNA) molecules are approximately 80 nucleotides in length. Their secondary structure includes four short double-helical elements and three loops (D, anti-codon, and T loops). Lineage: Bacteria; Bacillati; Chloroflexota; Anaerolineae. The record is from RNAcentral.